Molecule: non-coding RNA, 74 nt
Organism: Myxococcus stipitatus DSM 14675
Lineage: Bacteria; Pseudomonadati; Myxococcota; Myxococcia; Myxococcales; Myxococcaceae
Source: Rfam
GCCGCGGUAGCCCAAUUGGUAGAGGCACUGCACUCAGAACGCAGGGGUUGCGGGUUCGACUCCCGCCCGCGGCA